RNAcentral lists this unclassified non-coding RNA (273 nucleotides) under uncultured Lecanoromycetes. RNAcentral describes it as "sequence contains ITS2". The stretch from base 1 to 52 matches the Rfam family "5.8S ribosomal RNA", at positions 103 to 154 of the family's 154-position model. Lineage: Eukaryota; Fungi; Ascomycota; Lecanoromycetes. The record is from RNAcentral.
AACGCACAUUGCGCCCUCUGGUAUUCCGGGGGGCAUGCCUGUUCGAGCGUCAUUACACCACUCAAGCUCAGCUUGGUAUUGGAAAUCUUAUCCACCCCCUUGGGGAGGGCAAUUUUCAAAAACUAGCGGCGGUGCAGCCGGACUUCCCAGCGCAGUGACUUUACAAUUCUCGCUACGGAACUCGACUGCUCCGGCCGGUAACCAUUUUCUCCCCGGGGAAAAUAUCUUUCUAUUGUUGACCUCGGAUCAGGUAGGGAUACCCGCUGAACUUAA